CCUACGGGAGGCAGCAGUGGGGAAUUUUGGACAAUGGGGGAAACCCUGAUCCAGCCAUGCCGCGUGAGUGAAGAAGGCCUUCGGGUUGUAAAGCUCUUUCGGCUGGGAAGAAAUCGCACAGGCUAAUACUCUGUGUGGAUGACGGUACCAGCACAAGAAGCACCGGCUAACUACGUGCCAGCAGCCGCGGUAAUACGUAGGGUGCGAGCGUUAAUCGGAAUUACUGGGCGUAAAGCGUGCGCAGGCGGUUGUGCAAGACAGAUGUGAAAUCCCCGGGCUCAACCUGGGAACUGCAUUUGUGACUGCACGACUAGAGUACGGCAGAGGGGGGUAGAAUUCCACGUGUAGCAGUGAAAUGCGUAGAGAUGUGGAGGAAUACCGAUGGCGAAGGCAGCCCCCUGGGUCGAUACUGACGCUCAUGCUCGAAAGCGUGGGGAGCAAACAGGAUUAGAUACCCUGGUAGUCCACGCCCUAAACGAUGUCAACUAGUUGUUGGUAGGGUUAAACCUAUUAGUAACGUAGCUAACGCGUGAAGUUGACCGCCUGGGGAGUACGGUCGCAAGAUUAAAACUCAAAGGAAUUGACGG
Molecule: ribosomal RNA, 587 nt
Filed under: uncultured beta proteobacterium
Lineage: Bacteria; Pseudomonadati; Pseudomonadota; Betaproteobacteria
Description: bacterial SSU rRNA
Rfam family: Bacterial small subunit ribosomal RNA
Source: RNAcentral